This 479-nucleotide ribosomal RNA is filed under the name uncultured bacterium. Its description in RNAcentral is "bacterial SSU rRNA". It matches the Rfam family "Bacterial small subunit ribosomal RNA", at positions 29 to 524 of the family's 1533-position model. The record is from RNAcentral.
AGUGAACGCUGGCGGCAGGCCUAACACAUGCAAGUCGAGCGGCAGCGGGCUGUAGCAAUACAGUGCCGGCGAGCGGCGGACGGGUGAGGAAUACAUCGGAAUCUACCUUGUCGUGGGGGAUAACGUAGGGAAACUUACGCUAAUACCGCAUACGAACUACGGUUGAAAGCGGAGGACCGCAAGGCUUCGCGCGAUUGGAUGAGCCGAUGUCGGAUUAGCUAGUUGGCGGGGUAAUGGCCCACCAAGGCGACGAUCCGUAGCUGGUCUGAGAGGAUGAUCAGCCACAUUGGGACUGAGACACGGCCCAAACUCCUACGGAGGCAGCAGUGGGGAAUAUUGGACAAUGGGCGCAAGCCUGAUCCAGCCAUGCCGCGUGAGUGAUGAAGGCCUUAGGGUUGUAAAGCUCUUUUGUCCGGGAAGAUAAUGACUGUACCGGAAGAAUAAGCCCCGGCUAACUUCGUGCCAGCAGCCGCGGUAAU